UACGUAGGUGGCAAGCGUUGUCCGGAAUUAUUGGGCGUAAAGCGCGCGCAGGCGGUCCUUUGAGUCUGAUGUGAAAGCCCACGGCUCAACCGUGGAGGGUCAUUGGAAACUGGGGGACUUGAGUGCAGGAGAGAAGAGUGGAAUUCCACGUGUAGCGGUGAAAUGCGUAGAUAUCGGGAGGAACACCAGUGGCGAAGGCGACUUCCUGGCCUGUUCUUGACGCUGAGGCGCGAAAGCUAGGGGAGCAAACGGG
RNAcentral lists this ribosomal RNA (253 nucleotides) under uncultured bacterium. Its description in RNAcentral is "partial 16S ribosomal RNA". It matches the Rfam family "Bacterial small subunit ribosomal RNA", at positions 524 to 776 of the family's 1533-position model. The record is from RNAcentral.